RNAcentral lists this ribosomal RNA (482 nucleotides) under Ralstonia pickettii. RNAcentral's name for it is "bacterial SSU rRNA". It matches the Rfam family "Bacterial small subunit ribosomal RNA", at positions 44 to 526 of the family's 1533-position model. The record is from RNAcentral. Lineage: Bacteria; Pseudomonadati; Pseudomonadota; Betaproteobacteria; Burkholderiales; Burkholderiaceae.
AUGCGUCUUACAUCAGUCUUCGGCAGCAUGAUCUAGCUUGCUAAUUGAUGGCGAGUGGCGAACGGGUGAGUAAUACAUCGGAACGUGCCCUGUAGUGGGGGAUAACUAGUCGAAAGAUUAGCUAAUACCGCAUACGACCUGAGGGUGAAAGUGGGGGACCGCAAGGCCUCAUGCUAUAGGAGCGGCCGAUGUCUGAUUAGCUAGUUGUGAGGUAAAGGCUCACCAAGGGCGACAUCAGUACUGGUCUGAAGGACGAUCAGCACACUGGGACUGAGACACGGCCCAGACUCCUACGGGAGGCAGCAGUGGGGAAUUUUGGACAAUGGGCGAAAGCCUGAUCCAGCAAUGCCGCGUGUGUGAAGAAGCCUUCGGGUUGUAAAGCACUUUUUGUCCGGAAAGAAAUGGCUCUGGUUAAUACCUGGGGUCGAUGACGGUACCGGAAGAAUAAGACCGGCUAACUACGGUGCAGCAGCCGGGUAUAC